RNAcentral lists this ribosomal RNA (329 nucleotides) under Paenibacillus polymyxa. RNAcentral's name for it is "bacterial SSU rRNA". It matches the Rfam family "Bacterial small subunit ribosomal RNA", at positions 407 to 732 of the family's 1533-position model. The record is from RNAcentral. Lineage: Bacteria; Bacillati; Bacillota; Bacilli; Caryophanales; Paenibacillaceae.
CCGGCUGGUCUCGGAUCGUAAGCUCUGUUGCCAGGGAAGAACGUCUUGUAGAGUAACUGCUACAAGAGUGACGGUACCUGAGAAGAAAGCCCCGGCUAACUACGUGCCAGCAGCCGCGGUAAUACGUAGGGGGCAAGCGUUGUCCGGAAUUAUUGGGCGUAAAGCGCGCGCAGGCGGCUCUUUAAGUCUGGUGUUUAAUCCCGAGGCUCAACUUCGGGUCGCACUGGAAACUGGGGAGCUUGAGUGCAGAAGAGGAGAGUGGAAUUCCACGUGUAGCGGUGAAAUGCGUAGAGAUGUGGAGGAACACCAGUGGCGAAGGCGACCACCAA